Molecule: long non-coding RNA, 504 nt
Filed under: Oryza brachyantha (malo sina)
Lineage: Eukaryota; Viridiplantae; Streptophyta; Magnoliopsida; Poales; Poaceae
Description: long non-coding RNA (OBRA_LNC000677)
Source: RNAcentral
UCACUCAAGUUUUCCUAGCCCAUGUCUGGAGUUUGACGAUCCAGGUGACUGACAGACAGAGCAAGCGGCAAUAUAUACAACGGUAAAACCUCGCGGCAAAGCAGUAAAAUCACGUGUGCACUUAUGCUUUGUUUGUGCAGCAGUAUACAGUUCUUAAAGACAACAUGCAGCCUCGAGAUUCUACAGUUCUUAAUUAGGGCCCGGCCCCCAUUGCCGGCACUAAUUAAUUAGAUGAGGUCUCAGCUCCUCCAGUGGCCAAACCACUGCUUUGUUUCUUUACGGCAAAAAUAAUCUAGACCUGCCAAGAAACAGUGGCAACGACGUAAACUCAACAGAAGCGUCUGAUCAACAGCUACAUACAUUAUCACCAGUCUUCUGAUUCCUAAAACCAUAUUGGAAGCAUACCUGAAACAGUGAUGAUGUGUGUAUUGGUGUUCACCCAAACGGAGCAGAGGCAGAGCAGGAACCAAAUGCCAGCCUGAGAUGGCACAGCGCCAUCGCCAC